RNAcentral lists this ribosomal RNA (253 nucleotides) under uncultured bacterium. RNAcentral's name for it is "partial 16S ribosomal RNA". It matches the Rfam family "Bacterial small subunit ribosomal RNA", at positions 524 to 776 of the family's 1533-position model. The record is from RNAcentral.
UACGAAGGGGGCUAGCGUUGUCCGGAUUUAUUGGGCGUAAAGAGCUCGUAGGCGGUUUGUCACGUCGGAUGUGAAAUCCUGGAGCUUAACUCCGGGCCUGCAUUCGAUACGGGCAGACUCGAGUGUUGUAGGGGAGACUGGAACUCCUGGUGUAGCGGUGAAAUGCGUAGAUAUCAGGAGGAACACCGAUGGCGAAGGCAGGUCUCUGGGCUGACACUGACGCUCAAGCACGAAAGCGUGGGGAGCAAACAGG